CUGCAACUCGCCUGCAUGAAGUCGGAAUUGCUAGUAAUCGUAGGUCAGCAUACUACGGUGAAUACGUUCCCGGGCCUUGUACACACCGCCCGUCAAACCAUGAGAGUUGGCAACACCCGAAGUCGGUAGUCUAACCGCAAGGAGGACGCCGCCGAAGGUGGGGUUGAUGAUUAGGGUUAAGUCGUAACAAGGUAGC
Molecule: ribosomal RNA, 196 nt
Filed under: uncultured bacterium
Lineage: Bacteria
Description: partial 16S ribosomal RNA
Rfam family: Bacterial small subunit ribosomal RNA
Source: RNAcentral